GAUGAACGCUGGCGGCGUGCCUAAUACAUGCAAGUCGAGCGAACAGACGAGGAGCUUGCUCCUCUGACGUUAGCGGCGGACGGGUGAGUAACACGUCGAUAACCUACCUAUAAGACUGGGAUAACUUCGGGAAACCGGAGCUAAUACCGGAUAAUAUAUUGAACCGCAUGGUUCAAUAGUGAAAGACGGUUUUGCUGUCACUUAUAGAUGGAUCCGCGCCGCAUUAGCUAGUUGGUAAGGUAACGGCUUACCAAGGCGACGAUGCGUAGCCGACCUGAGAGGGUGAUCGGCCACACUGGAACUGAGACACGGUCCAGACUCCUACGGGAGGCAGCAGUAGGGAAUCUUCCGCAAUGGGCGAAAGCCUGACGGAGCAACGCCGCGUGAGUGAUGAAGGUCUUCGGAUCGUAAAACUCUGUUAUUAGGGAAGAACAAAUGUGUAAGUAACUAUGCACGUCUUGACGGUACCUAAUCAGAAAGCCACGGCUAACUACGUG
RNAcentral lists this ribosomal RNA (497 nucleotides) under uncultured bacterium. RNAcentral's name for it is "partial 16S ribosomal RNA". It matches the Rfam family "Bacterial small subunit ribosomal RNA", at positions 28 to 507 of the family's 1533-position model. The record is from RNAcentral.